This 93-nucleotide microRNA precursor is filed under the name Bigelowiella natans CCMP2755. RNAcentral describes it as "miRNA EPrBNAG00000013381". The record is from RNAcentral. Lineage: Eukaryota; Cercozoa; Chlorarachniophyceae.
UGAUGAUGAUGAUGAUGAUGAUGAUGAUGAUGGGUGUGAUUGGUAUAGUUAGGAAUACGAUCGAUGCCAUCAUCAACAAUAACAACAUAUAUA